This 1356-nucleotide long non-coding RNA is filed under the name Suricata suricatta (meerkat). Its description in RNAcentral is "lncRNA (ENSSSUG00005011474.1)". Lineage: Eukaryota; Metazoa; Chordata; Mammalia; Carnivora; Herpestidae. The record is from RNAcentral.
AAAGCAAAUUAACUCUGGUUUGAAGGGAAGGGAGGCCAGAGCACCACGAUUUUCCUGCCUUCAAUUCCUGGGAAGGGAGCUCUCUAGGAACAGCUCAAACACCUCUGUUCUGGGACACAAUUUUUAAUGGCUUUACAGAAGCUGCUUUCAUAUGUAGUCCUCCACUGAACCCCGUCUUUUAUGGACACUCACAAUCCUUUCUUCACUACCAAACACCAAGCACCAACUAUGUGCUCCCAGUAGGAUAUCAAGGGGAAUAAGAUUUGCUUUUUUUUUUAAUUUUUUUUAAAUGUUUUAUUUAUUUUUGAUACAGACAGAGACAGAGCAUGAGAGGGGGAGGGGCAGAGAGAGAAGGAGACACAGAACCGGAAGCAGGCUCCAGGCUCUGAGCUAGCUGUCAGCACAGAGCCUGACGCGGGGCUUGAACCCACGAAAGUGAGAUCUGACCUGAGCUGAAGUCAGAGGCUUAACCGACUGAGCCACCCAGGUGCCCCAAGAUUUGCUUUAUUGUCUUUCCCGCUCUCCUCUUCUCCACAGAGAGGACUUUGUCCCAAGUGCUAUGGAGAGGGAGGAGACCCAGCCUACACCUAGGAAGAUCAGGACAAGCUUUACCAGAAGGCUCAUGGAGAAUGAAUUCAUCUACUCAGUCAUCUACCAGCCUGAAUCUGACAGAGAGUACACAGCACGGAGCUCUGCACGUGGUAGGCGCUCAGAAAGUUAGGUAUCCAUUCCGAGUCAGAGCUCCACAAGCAAGACCUGGGUGCAGAAACACCAGAGGGCGCCCACGAGCCCGCCCACCCAGCGGUCCCCAGGGCGCCGGUAAGAUCUUGGGCCUGGGUGCGGCCCCGCCGCCCAGAGCAGUUGCGCGCCGAGACUAGAAGAGCCGGUGAGGAGAGCCCUGCGUCCUACAUCCGCCCCGCCCCCUCCCCAGAGCCGGGGCGCACGGAGCAGCCGGUUGCGGAACGACGACACGACAUCCUGUUUUUGGGGCCCGCGGCUCCUCCGGCGCCUCUGCUGAUCUUGUCUUUCCCCGGGUGCUGACGCCAGCUCCCCUUCCCCCAGUCUCUGCACCCUCCCCAGGGGUCUGGGGCCUUCCCACUGCUGAAUCACCACCACUCCGCACUCCCCCGGGGUUCGGGGCAGGGUGGGGACUGCCCCAGCCGGACCCAUUCUGGCCACCCCCCAGCCUUGGUCAACGAUCGAUCCCGGGCUUGACUGAAGGCACGCAGCCUAAAGGCGCCAGUUCUUAACUUCUUCCCGCGGGGGUUGGUGGGGGUGAGAGGGGAGGGGGACAAAGCCUAGCGCCUAGGCUAGGGCCUCUACUGGGAUGGGGGUGGCAAGAAGGAGACUGGGAGG